This is a long non-coding RNA of Pseudoliparis swirei, 1020 nucleotides long. RefSeq lists it as uncharacterized. The transcript is spliced from 5 exons. The record is from RefSeq and is a predicted model, not a curated record. Lineage: Eukaryota; Metazoa; Chordata; Actinopteri; Perciformes; Liparidae.
UCACGAGCCCCCUGAGCCGGAGACGUGUUAUUUAUUGGAACUAUCUCUCUCUGAAUAUGUAAUUGAAUGGUAAGCAACUUUAAUUCAAUGUAGGACGAGAUAAAAAUGUAAAGAAAACAUUCUUUUAAGAAAAAAUUUCAAUUAUUCAGCAUUUUAUGACUUUUUAUUACAACAAGCCAUUCUGCAAACAUACACUGUGUUUAUUAUCAUGCAUCAAUCACCAUGUAAGUGGCAAUAAAUCGUUUCUGAUUCUGAUUUUUGAUAUUGAGGCCAAAGUGUAAAAUACUGAAGGAAACAACAAGUUAUGCAAUACAUGAACAUGUCGAAUGACGGAAUAAAGCACCGACUAAAAAGACCUGUGGGGUCAGCAGGGACUUAGCUUGAGUGUCAAUGUCCUUUUUUUCCCUCUCUCCAUUACUCUCAUCUGUGCCUGUCAAUCAAUGAGCAAAGGAGCAGGGUGCAGGGUGCUGGGUGUGGAAGACACUGUUGAAAUCACCAUCAAAACCACCACAUUGACUUCAAUGGUGAGACACAACAGAAGGUUAAAAUCAGCCUAAUUACGGAUCCAGCGUUGUAUUUAAACCUCCGCCUCCGGGACUUCGGGAGCGAGAGUCGGGACAUCUGAACCCAUCACACAAUGUCCUACGAGCGCAUUCUGUCCAUCGAGAGUUUGAGUGACGUUCCGAAUCCAUGGAAAGGAUUCACCAUGAACCGCUGCCUGGUGCUGGCACUGGUGGUCCUGCUCGUGAGCUCCGGGGUCAGUGAAGUGCACGAUGCAAUGGAUUCUUUCGUCGAGGAGACAGGUGUACGCUCUUUCUUUGGGAGUGUGCAGGACGGUUCAAUAUUUCAGAUUUCCAUUUGGGACAAUUUCAUGUGGUGGUGGGGAACCGAAGAACUGGGGGCGAUAAGAAGAAGAAAAAAGCCGAUGGGCGACCGAGUAAUCCUGAAACCCAAACCUAAAGUACCGGUGUAAAAAAACACACAUAACAACAUGUUACUGAAUAAAGAGCACAAACAACA